This 482-nucleotide ribosomal RNA is filed under the name uncultured bacterium. RNAcentral describes it as "partial 16S ribosomal RNA". It matches the Rfam family "Bacterial small subunit ribosomal RNA", at positions 30 to 507 of the family's 1533-position model. The record is from RNAcentral.
AUUGAACGCUGGCGGCAUGCUCUACACAUGCAAGUCGAACGGUAACAGGCCGCAAGGUGCUGACGAGUGGCGAACGGGUGAGUAAUGCAUCGGAACGUGCCCAGUCGUGGGGGAUAACUACUCGAAAGAGUAGCUAAUACCGCAUACGAUCUAUGGAUGAAAGCGGGGGACCGUAAGGCCUCGCGCGAUUGGAUCGGCCGAUGUCAGAUUAGGUAGUUGGUGGGGUAAAGGCUCACCAAGCCAACGAUCUGUAGCUGGUCUGAGAGGACGACCAGCCACACUGGAACUGAGACACGGCCCAGACUCCUACGGGAGGCAGCAGUGGGGAAUUUUGGACAAUGGGCGCAAGCCUGAUCCAGCAAUGCCGCGUGCAGGAAGAAGGCCUUCGGGUUGUAAACUGCUUUUGUACGGAACGAAACGGCUCUGGUUAAUACCCGGGGCUAAUGACGGUACCGUAAGAAUAAGCACCGGCUAACUACGUG